This is a long non-coding RNA of Oncorhynchus kisutch (coho salmon), 1331 nucleotides long. RefSeq lists it as uncharacterized. Lineage: Eukaryota; Metazoa; Chordata; Actinopteri; Salmoniformes; Salmonidae. The record is from RefSeq and is a predicted model, not a curated record. The transcript is spliced from 6 exons.
UCUCUCUCCUUGUCUUAUUUCUAACUGUUUCUUUCCAUGAAUGGCUGCAGUCUCUGACAUCCAUUCAUGAAAAAUAUGAACAAGCAUUGAUCAAGAUCCAACAGCUGUAGAAGGAGCAAGAGGAGUUGAAAGGGAAGGUUGAGGUCCAAAGUGUGGAGAUUGCACAGCUGACCCCAAGGCUCAAAUCUGAGCAGGAGACCCGCAGACUGGGGGAUUACAUUCAACUUCUACAGGAGGCUCGGACACAGUUGCACCAGGCUUCCAACAACACCCGCAGACGUGCAGAGAAAGCCGAGAGGGAACUGGAGGAGGUCUAUGAGCGCAUGGAGAGCACUUCCAUGACGUCUGCUCAGACCAAGCAGAAGAGCAGCAAACUAGAGAUGCAACUUUUAGAGUUACGCAGAAUCAUUGAGGAGAAAGAAAACAUUAGCAGAGAUGGCUAAAGUAGAAAAUGAGGAGUUGUCCAGAGAAAAUCAGGACCUCAGAAGAGAUAUUGAGAGACUUCGCAAGGAGUUCACUGACCUCCCGACUGCACCAGUGUCAUUGGAGCCUCCCAGCCCUUAUGGCUCUCCAGCUGACCCCACCCCUACUGAGGAGCAGCAGCUAGAUGUACUAUCUGAGACCCCAGACACUGCUCCAAACUCCGAGGAGGUAUGUAGAGUCAUUCCUAUGGUAUAAAUUCCCCAAUUACAUUCAACCCAAUUUUUCUUUGAGUGGAUGGUCAGGAAGCCAGAACAUAGUUAGAAAUCAUUUGUACACUUCAAAUUGACCUAAAGAAUCUCAAAUAGAUAAAGUAUUUGACAAAAACAGAAUGAUUUCAAACCUUGAUUACAUGGGGAUACGAUCACAUGUAUCUAUUUAUACGUGGGAAUACUUGGGAACAGAUUUCCUAAAUUAAAAUCACUUUGGGCUGAUUUCCUGAUUUCCUUCUUCUAAAGUCUGUUAUGUGUGUUUGUGUUCUUUUUGUGGCUCAUAAAAAUCCCGGCGCGCCUAUAGGGGAACCCUGUUGUUAUACAUGGUACAAAUGCAGUUUACACGUUUACAACAAGAUAGACUAGUGAUUUGGGAUCAAAGGGUUGAUUUCACAAUGGUUUAUCCACCAUCAUUUCUGUACUACACUAUAGUGAACUAUCCAUCUAUCGGAUGUUACCACUUACAGAGCCUUCAGAAAGUAUUCACACCCCUUCACUUUUUACACAUUUUGUUUUGUUACAGCCUAAAUCUUAAAUGGAUUAUAUUGAGAUUUUUUCCACUGGCCUACACACAAUAUACCCCAUAAUGUCAAAGUAAACUUGUGUUUUUUUUACAUUUGAACAAAUUAGUUAAAAAUG